Long non-coding RNA from Sander lucioperca (pikeperch), 463 nucleotides. RefSeq lists it as uncharacterized. The transcript has 3 exons. Lineage: Eukaryota; Metazoa; Chordata; Actinopteri; Perciformes; Percidae. The record is from RefSeq and is a predicted model, not a curated record.
CCAUACUAUGAAGCAUGUGUAUUUGACUCCUGUGCUUGUGACACGGGUGGAGACUGUGAGUGUUUCUGCACUGCUGUGGCCGCUUAUGCUGAAUCCUGUCAUCAAGCUGGCGCCUGUAUACGAUGGAGAACCCCAAAGAUUUGUCCUAUCUUCUGUGAUUACUACAAUUCCCCUGGUGAAUGUGAAUGGCACUACAUGCCAUGCGGAUCUCCAUGUAUGAAAACCUGCAGGAACCCCUCCGGCAGCUGCUCGCCACAGAUGCCUUCUCUAGAAGGUUGCUAUCCAAAAUGUCCUCCUGCUCAGCCAUACUUUGAUGAGGAUACAAUGACAUGUGUGUUAAAAGAACAUUGUGGCUGCUACGAUAAAGAGGGGAAACACUACAAUAAUAAUGACAAAGUGCCAACAACUGAAAACUGUCGAACAUGGUAGGUCUACAUUACAUCCCAGUCCCAGUCAAGGUUAU